RNAcentral lists this unclassified non-coding RNA (95 nucleotides) under Kaistella jeonii. RNAcentral describes it as "Chryseobacterium jeonii Flavo-1 RNA". Lineage: Bacteria; Pseudomonadati; Bacteroidota; Flavobacteriia; Flavobacteriales; Weeksellaceae. The record is from RNAcentral.
UCUGCGACCCGACCUGAGUGAAGCUCUUUGUAAUGGUGGCUGAGCGAAGUCGAAGCCACCAAUUAAAAAAGCGGGAAUGGAGGGCGGAAAUUGUC